GAGCCUAAUCCAGAGUCUCCUCACACAAGCACAGAGGAACAGAGCUCUCCUGUGGCUGGCGUUCUCAGGAGAAUUGUAGCUAGCAAGAAAGCGGCAGCAUGACGUCGGCGGCAGGUGAUGGUGUGAGCAGGAAGACGGCGUGUGUCACCGGAGGUAGCGGCUACAUCGCCUCGGCGCUCGUGAAAAUGCUGCUGGAGAAGGGAUAUGCCGUGAAGACGACGGUCAGGAACCCCGAUGACGAGGUGAAGAACGCUCAUCUCAAGGACUUGCAAGCGCUCGGUCCCCUGGAGGUGUACCGCGCUGACCUGGAGGAAGAGGGCAGCUUCGACGACGCCGUUGCCGGCUGCGACUAUGCCUUCCUCGUCGCCGCUCCAGUGGCCCUCAUGCCAGAGAACCCCGAGGAAGAGGUGAUCCAGCCGGCCAUCCGAGGAACCCUGAACGUGAUGAGGUCGUGCGUCAAGGCAGGGACGGUGAAGCGCGUGAUCCUGACGUCGUCGACGGCCGCGGUCUCGAGCCGGCCGCUGGAAGGCGACGGCCAUGUCCUGGAUGAGGAGUCCUGGUCCGAUGUCGAAUACCUCAGAGAGAAGAAGAUCGGCACGUGGGCGUACCCUGCCUCGAAAGUGCUGGCAGAGAAGGCGGCUGUGGCGUUCGCGGAGGAGAACGGCAUGAGCCUGGUCACCUUGUGCCCCGUCGUGGUGGUGGGCGGUGCCCCGGCGACGAAAGUCAAGACCAGCGUCCCCGAGUUGCUCUCCCUGCUAUCCGGCGACGAUGACAUGGUCGACAAGCUGGAGCUCAUCGAGGCGGCCUCUGGCUCGAUCCCGCUGGUCCACAUCGACGACGUCUGCGGCGCCGAGAUCUUCGUCGCCGAGGCGGAGGCACCGGCGGGGCGGUACAUCGUGUGCACCCUCAACACCACCGCCAUUGAGCUCGCCCGUUUCCUCCACGCCAAGUACCCGCAGUACGAGCUCAACAUCGAUCACAUUGGUGCUCUCCCGGAGAAGCCCAGAGUCUCCAUCUGGUCGGACAAGCUCCAAAAGGAAGGGUUCCAGUACAAGUACAAUAACCUGGACCAGGUAUACGACGACAUCGUCCCGUACGGCAAGAAAUUGGGAAUCCUUCCGAAAUGAUACUUUGGUCCUCUCGAUCGUGCGAUCUCAGAACCAAACUAGCCGCUUACAACUUGCAAGUAUUCUGAAGUGUGGUUGUUCAGUUCAGUGUAUGACUGUAUGUGAAAAUAAGGGCAAGACUGUCCGAAUAUGCGGUGGCGUGGUGGCUGAGAUGUGUCUAAUGGCUCGGCAGGCUCGUUGUUGGUUGAAUUCUGUCGAAUUUAGUACACAUAGAGGAACUCAUGUAUUCAUUGCCCCUGAACCUCGUCAAUAUUUUUGUAUGUAUUUUUGCGAUUGCUUGUCCUCGUAUGACUGAUAUUGUACUUUGAUUCUUUUACGGUUAUCAAAACAACAGAAGUGUAGGAAAUAUCUUGAGUAACGUGGUCAUGGAACAAACUAUUGAGUAAUGUGGCAAGGAGAAGAAGGUCUUCAAGACCAACCUCCUUGCCGAGGUGGAUACUCUGGAUCGUGAAGCAGAUUCCAAUUGGUUAGAUGAGGAUGGAUGGGCCCUCUCAUAUUACCCGGAGGACCAUCUUGUGCACCUUGCUAACAUUGUGGAAGAAUAGUGGCGCCAAAGGAGUCGAGUCCAGUGGCUCCUGAAGGGGGAUGCGUGCAUGUAUUUUUUUUUCCAUGACAUUGCCAAUGUCAGGAGAAGCAAAUGCAACAUCCCAAGGUUCAUCACUGAUCAUGGGGAUAUCUCUGAGCAAAGAGACAUCCUAGCACA
Lolium perenne is the source of this 1830-nucleotide non-coding RNA. The record is from RefSeq and is a predicted model, not a curated record. NCBI's taxonomy places the organism in Eukaryota, Viridiplantae, Streptophyta, Magnoliopsida, Poales, Poaceae.